Molecule: ribosomal RNA, 245 nt
Filed under: uncultured bacterium
Lineage: Bacteria
Description: partial small subunit ribosomal RNA
Rfam family: Bacterial small subunit ribosomal RNA
Source: RNAcentral
AGAUUGAACGCUGGCGGCAUGCCUAACACAUGCAAGUCGCACGAGAAAGGGUAGCAAUACCUGAGUAAAGUGGCGCACGGGUGAGUAACACGUGAAUUAUCUACCUCCGAGUGGGGAAUAACUGAGAGAAAUCUUAGCUAAUACCGCAUAACACUUACGAGUCAAAGCAGCAAUGCGCUUGGAGAGGAGUUCGCGGCAGAUUAGUUAGUUGGCGGGGUAAUGGCCCACCAAGACGAUGAUCUGUA